This is a ribosomal RNA of Nicotiana attenuata, 353 nucleotides long. It matches the Rfam family "Eukaryotic large subunit ribosomal RNA", at positions 3004 to 3399 of the family's 3401-position model. The record is from Rfam. Lineage: Eukaryota; Viridiplantae; Streptophyta; Magnoliopsida; Solanales; Solanaceae.
AACAGUAUUGCAAUAGUAAUUUAACCUAGUACGAGAGAAACGGUUGAUUCACACAAUCGGUCAUUGCGCUUGGCUGAAAAGCCAGUGGCACGAAGCUACCGUGUGCUGGAUUAUAAAUGAAUGCCUCUAAGUCAAAAUCCGGGUUAGAAGCAAUGCAUGUACUGUUGUCCUCUUGCCAACCCGCAGUAGGGGCACGUGUCGUCGGCUAAGUCAUCGCGGCGGAACAGCCGCAGUGACCGCAUUGAACUACAAUUUCCAUUGAGCGGCUGGUAGAAUAUCUUUUGCAGACAACUUAAUAUGCGAUGGGGUAUUGUAAGUAUCCAUUGAGCUUCAGUCCUUUGUCGCUCUGAUUC